UACGAAGGGACCUAGCGUAGUUCGGAAUUACUGGGCUUAAAGAGUUCGUAGGUGGUUGAAAAAGUUAGUGGUGAAAUCCCAGAGCUUAACUCUGGAACUGCCAUUAAAACUUUUCAGCUAGAGUAUGAUAGAGGAAAGCAGAAUUUCUAGUGUAGAGGUGAAAUUCGUAGAUAUUAGAAAGAAUGCCAAUUGCGAAGGCAGCUUUCUGGAUCAUUACUGACACUGAGGAACGAAAGCAUGGGUAGCGAAGAGGAUUAGAUACCCUCGUAGUCCAUGCCGUAAACGAUGUGUGUUAGACGUUGGAAAUUUAUUUUCAGUGUCGCAGCGAAAGCGAUAAACACACCGCCUGGGGAGUACGACCGCAAGGUUAAAACUCAAAUGAAUUGACGGGGACCCGCACAAGUAGUGGAGCAUGUGGUUUAAUUCGAAGAUACGCGCAGAACCUUACCAACACUUGACAUGUUCGUCGCGACUCUAAGAGAUUAGAGUUUUCGGUUCGGCCGGACGAAACACAGGUGCUGCAUGGCUGUCGUCAGCUCGUGUCGUGAGAUGUUGGGUUAAGUCCCGCAACGAGCGCAACCCUCACUUUUAGUUGCCAUCAUUAAGUUGGGCACUCUGAAAGAACUGCCAGUGAUAAGCUGGAGGAAGGUGGGGAUGACGUCAAGUCCUCAUGGCCCUUACGUGUUGGGCUACACACGUGCUACAAUGGUAUCUACAACAGGAAGCAAGACUGCGAGGUCAAGCAAAUCCUUAAAAGAUACCUCAGUUCGGAUUGCACUCUGCAACUCGAGUGCAUGAAGCUGGAAUUACUAGUAAUCGUGGAUCAGCGUGCCACGGUGAAUGCGUUCCCGGGUCU
This 856-nucleotide ribosomal RNA is filed under the name uncultured bacterium. RNAcentral's name for it is "SSU rRNA". It matches the Rfam family "Bacterial small subunit ribosomal RNA", at positions 524 to 1381 of the family's 1533-position model. The record is from RNAcentral.